GCUUAGAAGUGAGAAUGCCGGUGUGAGUAGCGAAAGACGGGUGAGAAUCCCGUCCACCGAUUGACUAAGGUUUCCAGAGGAAGGCUCGUCCGCUCUGGGUUAGUCGGGUCCUAAGCUGAGGCCGACAGGCGUAGGCGAUGGAUAACAGGUUGAUAUUCCUGUACCACCUAUAAUCGUUUUAAUCGAUGGGGGGACGCAGUAGGAUAGGCGAAGCGUGCGAUUGGAUUGCACGUCUAAGCAGUAAGGCUGAGUAUUAGGCAAAUCCGGUACUCGUUAAGGCUGAGCUGUGAUGGGGAGAAGACAUUGAGUCUUCGAGUCGUUGAUUUCACACUGCCGAGAAAAGCCUCUAGAUAGAAAAUAGGUGCCCGUACCGCAAACCGACACAGGUAGUCAAGAUGAGAAUUCUAAGGUGAGCGAGCGAACUCUCGUUAAGGAACUCGGCAAAAUGACCCCGUAACUUCGGGAGAAGGGGUGCUCUUUAGGGUUAACGCCCAGAAGAGCCGCAGUGAAUAGGCCCAAGCGACUGUUUAUCAAAAACACAGGUCUCUGCUAAACCGUAAGGUGAUGUAUAGGGGCUGACGCCUGCCCGGUGCUGGAAGGUUAAGAGGAGUGGUUAGCUUCUGCGAAGCUACGAAUCGAAGCCCCAGUAAACGGCGGCCGUAACUAUAACGGUCCUAAGGUAGCGAAAUUCCUUGUCGGGUAAGUUCCGACCCGCACGAAAGGCGUAACGAUUUGGGCACUGUCUCAACGAGAGACUCGGUGAAAUCAUAGUACCUGUGAAGAUGCAGGUUACCCGCGACAGGACGGAAAGACCCCGUGGAGCUUUACUGUAGCCUGAUAUUGAAAUUCGGCACAGCUUGUACAGGAUAGGUAGGAGCCUUUGAAACGUGAGCGCUAGCUUACGUGGAGGCGCUGGUGGGAUACUACCCUAGCUGUGUUGGCUUUCUAACCCGCACCACUUAUCGUGGUGGGAGACAGUGUCAGGCGGGCAGUUUGACUGGGGCGGUCGCCUCCUAAAAGGUAACGGAGGCGCUCAAAGGUUCCCUCAGAAUGGUUGGAAAUCAUUCAUAGAGUGUAAAGGCAUAAGGGAGCUUGACUGCGAGACCUACAAGUCGAGCAGGGUCGAAAGACGGACUUAGUGAUCCGGUGGUUCCGCAUGGAAGGGCCAUCGCUCAACGGAUAAAAGCUACCCCGGGGAUAACAGGCUUAUCUCCCCCAAGAGUUCACAUCGACGGGGAGGUUUGGCACCUCGAUGUCGGCUCAUCGCAUCCUGGGGCUGUAGUCGGUCCCAAGGGUUGGGCUGUUCGCCCAUUAAAGCGGUACGCGAGCUGGGUUCAGAACGUCGUGAGACAGUUCGGUCCCUAUCCGUCGUGGGCGUAGGAAAUUUGAGAGGAGCUGUCCUUAGUACGAGAGGACCGGGAUGGACAUACCUCUGGUGUACCAGUUGUCGUGCCAACGGCAUAGCUGGGUAGCUAUGUGUGGACGGGAUAAGUGCUGAAAGCAUCUAAGCAUGAAGCCCCCCUCAAGAUGAGAUUUCCCAACUUCGGUUAUAAGAUCCCUCAAAGAUGAUGAGGUUAAUAGGUUCGAGGUGGAAGCAUGGUGACAUGUGGAGCUGACGAAUACUAAUCGAUCGAAGACUUAAUCAA
This 1646-nucleotide ribosomal RNA is filed under the name Staphylococcus aureus. RNAcentral describes it as "bacterial LSU rRNA". It matches the Rfam family "Bacterial large subunit ribosomal RNA", at positions 1280 to 2925 of the family's 2925-position model. The record is from RNAcentral. Lineage: Bacteria; Bacillati; Bacillota; Bacilli; Caryophanales; Staphylococcaceae.